GGACCCGCACAAGCAGUGGAGCAUGUGGUUUAAUUCGAAGAUACGCGCAGAACCUUACCAACGCUUGACAUGUUCGUCGCGAGACUAAGAGAUUAGUCUCUUCAGUUCGGCUGGACGAAACACAGGUGCUGCAUGGCUGUCGUCAGCUCGUGCUGUGAAGUGUCGGGUUAAGUCCCUUAACGAGCGCAACCCCUGUCGCUAGUUGCUAACACGUAAUGGUGAGGACUCUAGCGAGACUGCCGGUGUUAAACCGGACGAAGGUGGGGAUGACGUCAAGUCCGCAUGGCCUUUAUGCCCAGGGCUGCACACGUGCUACAAUGGCAGGUACAGAACGAUGCAAUACCGCGAGGUGGAGCAAAUCGCAAAAGCCUGCCCCAGUUCGGAUAGGAGGCUGCAAUUCGCCUCCUUGAAGUCGGAAUCGCUAGUAAUCGC
This 432-nucleotide ribosomal RNA is filed under the name uncultured bacterium. RNAcentral describes it as "bacterial SSU rRNA". It matches the Rfam family "Bacterial small subunit ribosomal RNA", at positions 917 to 1345 of the family's 1533-position model. The record is from RNAcentral.